Non-coding RNA from Drosophila melanogaster (fruit fly), 111 nucleotides. The record is from Ensembl. Lineage: Eukaryota; Metazoa; Arthropoda; Insecta; Diptera; Drosophilidae.
UCGGCCCUCGACACGGUGGAUGAGCUUGUCAGUGGCGGAUCCAGGAGCAAUUCUGCCGCUGGCGACAGAUCAUCGGCCACUGACAAUGCCCAUUCACUGUUCGAGGAGAUC